Molecule: ribosomal RNA, 960 nt
Filed under: human gut metagenome
Description: bacterial SSU rRNA
Rfam family: Bacterial small subunit ribosomal RNA
Source: RNAcentral
UCCUACGGGAGGCAGCAGUAGGGAGUAUUCGGCAAUGGGGGAAACCCUGACCGAGCAACGCCGCGUGAAUGAUGACGGCCUUCGGGUUGUAAAAUUCUGUGGCGAGGAACGAAUGGCAAGGAGAGGAAAUGCUCUUUGUUUGACGGUACCUCGCUAGAAAGCCACGGCUAACUACGUGCCAGCAGCCGCGGUAAUACGUAGGUGGCAAGCGUUAUCCGGAAUUAUUGGGCGUAAAGAGUGAGCAGGCGGUUUUUUAAGUCUGAAGUCAAAUCCUGUGGCUCAACCACAGUUCGCUUUGGAAACUGAAGAACUAGAGUGCGGGAGAGGUAAGCGGAAUUCCAUAUGUAGCGGUGAAAUGCACAGAUAUAUGGAGGAACACCGGUGGCGAAGGCGGCUUACCAGCCCGAUACUGACGCUCAGUCACGAAAGCGUGGGGAGCAAAUAGGCUUAGAUACCCUAGUAGUCCACGCCGUAAACGUUGAGGACCUGAUGCCGGAGUAUUUCGGUGUCGUAGCUAACGCGUUAAGUCCUCCGCCUGGGUACUACGUUCGCAAGAAUAAAACUUAAAGGAAUUGACGGGGGCCCGCACAAGCAGUGGAGCAUGUGGUUUAAUUCGUCGCUACGCGAAAAACCUUACCAGGGUUUGACAUCCCGCUAAAAGUCUUGGAAACAAGAUCAUAGUUAUAGCGGUGAAAGGUGGUGCAUGGUUGUCGUCAGCUCGUGUCGUGAGAUGUUGGGUUAAGUCCCCUAACGAGCGCAACCCUUGUCUCUAUUUGCCAUCAUUAAGUUGGGAACUAUAGAGAGACUGCCGGUGCAAACCGGAGGAAGAUGGGGAUGACGUCAAAUCAUCAUGCCCCUUAUGCCCUGGGCCACACACGUGCUACAAUGGCCGGUACAGAGAGAAGCAAUCCCGUGAGGAGGAGCAAAUCUCACAAAGCCGGUCUCAGUUCGGAUUGGAGU